UACGUAGGGGGCGAGCGUUGUCCGGAAUUACUGGGCGUAAAGCGCACGCAGGCGGUUUGCCAAGUUCGAUGCGACAGUCACCGGCUUAACCGGUGAAGGACAUUGAAAACUGGUAGACUUGAGAGCGAGAGAGGGAGACGGAACUCCGGGAGGAGCAGUGAAAUGCGUUGAGAUCCGGAAGAACACCAAGGCGAAGGCAGUCUCCUGGCUCGCCUCUGACGCUCAGGUGCGAAAGCCAGGGGAGC
This 245-nucleotide ribosomal RNA is filed under the name uncultured bacterium. RNAcentral's name for it is "partial 16S ribosomal RNA". It matches the Rfam family "Bacterial small subunit ribosomal RNA", at positions 524 to 769 of the family's 1533-position model. The record is from RNAcentral.